RNAcentral lists this ribosomal RNA (618 nucleotides) under uncultured bacterium. Its description in RNAcentral is "bacterial SSU rRNA". It matches the Rfam family "Bacterial small subunit ribosomal RNA", at positions 359 to 973 of the family's 1533-position model. The record is from RNAcentral.
GGAAUUUCGGCAAUGGGGGAAACCCUGACCGAGCAACGCCGCGUGAAGGAAGAAGUAAUUCGUUAUGUAAACUUCUGUCAUAGAGGAAGAACGGUGGAUAUAGGGAAUGAUAUCCAAGUGACGGUACUCUAUAAGAAAGCCACGGCUAACUACGUGCCAGCAGCCGCGGUAAUACGUAGGUGGCGAGCGUUAUCCGGAAUUAUUGGGCGUAAAGAGGGAGCAGGCGGCACUAAGGGUCUGUGGUGAAAGAUCGAAGCUUAACUUCGGUAAGCCAUGGAAACCGUAGAGCUAGAGUGUGUGAGAGGAUCGUGGAAUUCCAUGUGUAGCGGUGAAAUGCGUAGAUAUAUGGAGGAACACCAGUGGCGAAGGCGACGAUCUGGCGCAUAACUGACGCUCAGUCCCGAAAGCGUGGGGAGCAAAUAGGAUUAGAUACCCUAGUAGUCCACGCCGUAAACGAUGAGUACUAAGUGUUGGGGGUCAAAGCUCAGUGCUGCAGUUAACGCAAUAAGUACUCCGCCUGAGUAGUACGUUCGCAAGAAUGAAACUCAAAGGAAUUGACGGGGGCCCGCACAAGCGGUGGAGCAUGUGGUUUAAUUCGAAGCAACGCGAAGAACCUUA